AGUUCAAGAUUCAAUAUAUUGACGUAUGUGUAGUUAAGGGAUGACAAUGAUAAUGCAAGAAAGUAGAAAAGCACAUUUGUUCUUCCAGCAAGAUAUGCUCUUUCUCAGAAUACAUUCAUGAAAAAGACGUUGAGGUAGAAAUUCAUUCAAACUUCUUAUCACCGCACGUGCCAUUUUCCUAUAGGCAAGUUUGAUGCAAAUACGUUUUAGAGACGCUUAGCUAAUACUAUGAAGAGCUGCCCUCUAAUUUUUAAGUGCUCUAUCACAUGAUCAAGGAAGAGUUGUGAGCAGAUCAACUGUGUCUAUCCACCCUUUCUUGGUAGAUGCUUUUGGUAGUUAUCUUCCAACUGAUGAGAAUGAUCAUUCAUCAAAUGAACACAUGACAUGGA
This is a long non-coding RNA of Xenia sp. Carnegie-2017, 389 nucleotides long. RefSeq lists it as uncharacterized. Lineage: Eukaryota; Metazoa; Cnidaria; Anthozoa; Malacalcyonacea; Xeniidae. The transcript has 3 exons. The record is from RefSeq and is a predicted model, not a curated record.